Molecule: small RNA, 72 nt
Filed under: Dehalococcoides mccartyi GY50
Lineage: Bacteria; Bacillati; Chloroflexota; Dehalococcoidia; Dehalococcoidales; Dehalococcoidaceae
Description: isrJ Hfq binding RNA
Source: RNAcentral
UGUAAAUCUUAAAUCAUUCCAAAUUUAAUAUUCCAUCCAAAAUAUAAGAGCCCCCCGUUUCCGGGGGGCUCU